AUUGAACGCUGGCGGCAGGCCUAACACAUGCAAGUCGAACGGUAACAGGAAACAGCUUGCUGUUUCGCUGACGAGUGGCGGACGGGUGAGUAAUGUCUGGGAAACUGCCUGAUGGAGGGGGAUAACUACUGGAAACGGUAGCUAAUACCGCAUAACGUCGCAAGACCAAAGAGGGGGACCUUCGGGCCUCUUGCCAUCGGAUGUGCCCAGAUGGGAUUAGCUAGUAGGUGGGGUAACGGCUCACCUAGGCGACGAUCCCUAGCUGGUCUGAGAGGAUGACCAGCCACACUGGAACUGAGACACGGUCCAGACUCCUACGGGAGGCAGCAGUGGGGAAUAUUGCACAAUGGGCGCAAGCCUGAUGCAGCCAUGCCGCGUGUAUGAAGAAGGCCUUCGGGUUGUAAAGUACUUUCAGCGGGGAUGAAGGGAGUAAAGUUAAUACCUUUGCUAAUUGACGUUACCCGCAGAAGAAGCACCGGCUAACUCCGUG
RNAcentral lists this ribosomal RNA (490 nucleotides) under uncultured bacterium. RNAcentral's name for it is "partial 16S ribosomal RNA". It matches the Rfam family "Bacterial small subunit ribosomal RNA", at positions 30 to 507 of the family's 1533-position model. The record is from RNAcentral.